This 107-nucleotide small nucleolar RNA is filed under the name Gossypium hirsutum (cotton). Its description in RNAcentral is "Plant small nucleolar RNA R71". It matches the Rfam family "Plant small nucleolar RNA R71". From Rfam's summary of the family: R71 is a member of the C/D box family of snoRNAs containing the C (UGAUGA) and D (CUGA) box motifs. Multiple nearly identical copies of this snoRNA have been identified in Arabidopsis, and it is thought to function as a 2'-O-ribose methylation guide for 18S ribosomal RNA. Lineage: Eukaryota; Viridiplantae; Streptophyta; Magnoliopsida; Malvales; Malvaceae. The record is from Rfam by way of RNAcentral.
AAUCCAUGAUGAGGGCAUUUUCAUAAUAACUCCUUUUAUUGUUCGCAUGCCCCAUACAAGGACUCAUCAUCAGAUUGUUGAAAUGUAGUAAUUUCAUUUAUGAGUUU